UGGAGCUCAGGGUCGGGCUAAAGAGGGUAUAAUAUCUAUUAUAAACUGGGUGGUUCCAGCCCUGAAUGCUGAUUGGCUGACAGUCGUGGUACAUCAGACCAUAUACCACACUCCCUUGUGCCUUAUUGCUUAAGUGUAUCAGUGUAUUACAUCUACUAUAUAACUCACUCCUGAUCUAUCAUCUCAGCCUGGCGGUGCUACAUAUCUACUAUAUAAUAUAGGUCCUGCUCAAUCAUCUCAGCCUGUCGGUGCUGCAGGUACAUAUCUACUAUAUAAUAUAACUCCUGCUCUAUCAUCUCAGCCUGGUGGUGCUGCAGGUACAUAUCUACUAUAUAAUAUAACUCCUGCUCUAUCAUCUCAGCCUGGCGGUGCUGCAGGUACAUAUCUACUAUAUAAUAUAACUUCUGCUCUAUCAUCUCAGCCUGGUGGUGCUACAUAUCUACUAUAUAAUAUAACUCCUGCUCUAUCAUCUCAGCCUGGUGGUGCUGCAGGUACAGUAGGUAUAUCUAGUGUAGUGUAUAUCUACUAUAUAAAAUAACUCACUCCUGCUCAAUCAUCUCAGCCUGGGGGUGCUGCAGGUACAUAUCUACUAUAUAAUAUAACUCCUGCUCUAUCAUCUCAGCCUGGCGGUGCUGCAGGUACAUAUCUACUAUAUAAUAUAACUCCUGCUCGAUCAUCUCAGCCUGGCUGUGCUACAUAUCUACUAUAUAAUAUAACUCCUGCUCAAUCAUCUCAGCCUGGGGGUGCUGCAGGUACAAUAGGUACAUAUCUACUAUAUAAUAUAACUCUUGCUCUAUCAUCUCAGCCUGGCGGUGCUACAUAUCUACUAUAUAAUAUAGCUCCUGCUCAAUCAUCUCAGCCUGGGGGUGCUGCAGGUACAAUAGGUACAUAUCUACUGUAUAAUAUAACUCCUGCUCUAUCAUCUCAGCCUGGCGGUGCUGCAGGUACAUAUCUACUGUAUAAUAUAACUCCUGCUCUAU
Molecule: long non-coding RNA, 980 nt
Organism: Oncorhynchus tshawytscha (Chinook salmon)
Lineage: Eukaryota; Metazoa; Chordata; Actinopteri; Salmoniformes; Salmonidae
Source: Ensembl